ACGACGAUCCGACUAUGUUUCUAUGCAUUUCGUGGUCCUGGAUGAAGUCCAUUUCGAGGUUUUGGGGGUGAUUUACGAGACCUCGCAGUCGAUGAAGAUUCCGACCUAUCGGAGACUUUUCUGAGUCUUUCCUUGUAUAUCGGAGUGUAUUUUCUUCUCCUGAAUGUUCUAGAAGAAUUUAUGAUGAUUCUUGGUUGAUUUUUGGGUGACCUAUCGGCUUCUAGGGUUUCUGGUGGUUUGACCUAAAGUAUUACUACCAUCCGGUGGCUCGAUCCUCACUCAGACGAUGUUUUGGGUGAUUUUCCGACAUUCCUGAUCAUACUUA
RNAcentral lists this long non-coding RNA (325 nucleotides) under Nicotiana benthamiana. RNAcentral describes it as "long non-coding RNA (NBEN_LNC018691)". Lineage: Eukaryota; Viridiplantae; Streptophyta; Magnoliopsida; Solanales; Solanaceae. The record is from RNAcentral.